Molecule: long non-coding RNA, 2199 nt
Organism: Struthio camelus australis
Lineage: Eukaryota; Metazoa; Chordata; Aves; Struthioniformes; Struthionidae
Source: RefSeq, a predicted model, not a curated record
UUUGCAAACUCAGGAAAGGAGAUAAUGCACAUUUGGGUCGUAUUUGGAAGAUUUCCUGAACAACCAUGAGGGAUUAUUUCAAGAACUAAUUGAUAGCAGCUGCAAAGCCACUCUGUAUGUAGGCUCCUUGGUCACCCAUGGGUGAGCAUGCCAUCUGAGCUUGUGAUAUGCUCUGUCCUCAGAAAAAGGCUCGAACAAUGCUAGAUCCCACCUGCAGAGCAUCCACAUCUGGAAGGAAGGUGUGCCCCAGUGAAAAGAUGUGCAAGGCUGUCAUCUUGGCUGCGAAGAAACAAAAGCUCCAGGAGGCACCGCUGUCAGCAGCGGAGCGGAUGCAGAGCCAUGCAGCUGUCACACUCAGAGUGAAGUUCCCUAUUCACUCACCUUCUGCCAUCCGCUCUCAUCAGGUUUCCAGCGAUUUUCCCCUUCCUUCUUCCUGUCACUGACGAGCCCCUGGGAACAUUAAUGCCAUAUUCCUGUCAUCCACAUCGAAUUGCUCCCUCACAUGAAUGGGAAGCACAGUUUUGAAGCAGGUUUAGUUGGACACUUCACCCGGCUAAUUAGAAAAGCUUUGGGUUUUGUUUUGGCUUUUGUAGUUUCAUUCUUUUUCUUCCCCAGAAAGCUGUUCUGAAAUGAUGAACCAAUUCCCGCACCACCAGCAGAGUAAUUAUUUAUGAAUGUUCUGCAAAGACCAGAGUGUAUCAAAAAAUGCUUAAGUCAAACACUCACCCUCUGCACCACUCAGCUGUUCUCACUGAACUCUGGGCCAUCACAUUCAGAGAAGAGAAUGCAGUCCUUAUUAAAAUAGGCUGCCUACCUAAUUGCUUCCUCUGGGAAAAAACUCCCUUUCUUCAAAAUCCUCAUCUCCUUGGAAAAGAGCAGGCCAAAAAUAACAAUGUGUAACUAUAUAUAAACACAUACCUAGGUAUUAAAAUGACUAUGAUUAAUGCAUAUGCGCUAGCAUAUGCCCACAGGCAUUAGAUAGAGAAAGGUAUCUCAAGUGUCUUCUCCACAGUACGAGACAGUGUGCAGGACAGUGAGAGGGUUGUAGGUGGAUCUCGCCAGGCCUCACAGAAAUGAUGGUUCAGUACCUAAAUGCAAGGGAGAGAUCCAUGUAGCCGCUUCCUCUGGGUGCAGGGCGCUGAUGGCCAGUGCCUGCCUUGCUGCCCCCUUCACUCUACUGCGGUGCCACAGAUCCUCUCCCAGACUGAGAUCCCAUGUGUCAGCCCUUUGGCUGUGAUGCAGGAGAGAGGCUGAGCUAAGGUAAUUAGUAAAACUGCAGCCUUCCCCCUGCAGAGAGCAUGGGCAGGGUUCACCUAUGUGAGCUUUAGCGCUCCGCGCAUGAGAUUUGACAGGCUAGUAGUAGGCAGAGGGUAAAUACGUGUGACAGGUCAGUUUACCAUGAAUCUCCGAGUACUAUUGUCUGUUCUCUGCCCUUGGAGCUGUGUCUCUGGGGAGAGCUGAGUCUGCUGAGUGGUGAGUCCAUCUCGAAUGUUUAUAUCAGAUCAAACACUCAUGUAUCCUAGAUACCUGACGUAGCAUGAUCAGCGCCCUGCUAGUCAUGUGGGACAGGAUUUUGAAUGUGGAGGGGAUCACUGGCCCCCUAACUCUCUUCUUUUGUGCAUUAAGUGCUAACAAUAGAAGCUUCAGUAUAUGAUGGGGAUGUAUGUUGUGAAUCCAUCACUGUUUUGUUAUAUGAAUAGCAAUUUUUUUACUUCCAUUGACUAUAGGUCUCUCCACUUUAGGACUUGAUGCGGCUCCUCUUCUGGUGGUGGCAUGCAACUUCUCCUCUGUCACUAAACAGAGAAUGGGCACUACUCUAGCAGGGGCACUACAGCCAUUUUUGGUCUCCCAAUACAUGUGAUCUGCGAGAACAGUGUUUAUCUCCUACAGUUCUAAGCCAGGUGAAAGACUGAUUUCUUAAAAAAAUCAAAUAUAACCCUUUAGUUAGGGAGAAGGUGUCAGCUCAGAGAUUCCCCUUCAGAACUAUGUGCCCCAUAAGCCCUUCUUUGCUACCUUGUCCACUCACCAAAUGGGAAUUUCACUGGCCCAGUUCACAGCUGAGGCAUUCGGUCAAUAUAUGUUAUAUGAACAUAAAGUAAUAACAUGAGACUGGCUACACCUUCUCAAGGCGGUGAUCUGUCUACUGCAAAUUCCUCCAUUUGAUAUAGUGCAACCAAUAGCAGGUAUGGGGAACAAGUA